Molecule: long non-coding RNA, 1367 nt
Filed under: Homo sapiens (human)
Lineage: Eukaryota; Metazoa; Chordata; Mammalia; Primates; Hominidae
Description: HSALNT0332513
Source: RNAcentral
CAGACACCUUAUCUUGGACUUCCAGCCUCCAGAACUAAACAGAGAUUCAAAAGGGUCAGGUCACUGGCUCCAGGUCAACUCUACUACUAAACAGAAAAGCAAGGACCAAAAUUCAGAUCUUUGUGACCCUCAAUGCCACUAUGCCAUGCGAUGAUGCCUGCCUCUUUUAGAGGCCAACUAAUAGGCCAACUUGAUUUUCUUGAGGAAUGGCCGAAUGGAAGUUGAAUGGUUGAAGGUGACUGGCAAACAGAGAAACAAGGCACCAAGAACUGGCUAUUUCCAAACGUGGGCAAUCAGCUUCUGAAUGAAUAGUUCAGAAUGAUGCAGCUCUGGAUGUUGGAAAGGACAAUUCCGGCGUUUUACUCUUCUGACCAGUUUCUUCGUUUUCAUAACUCUACUUGAAGAACAUAUGAUGUUUGCCAGUGUCUGACAUUACGGACCUCACAGCUUACUGAAUCUGAAAACAGGAGAUAGAGAUGGAAAGGAAAGCCUCAGGAACUUGUUGCAAUAGGGACUGCCAGGUCCCGUUGCACUAUUGGUGGAAGAGAGGUCCACACGGUGCCUACGAUAAGCGAUUUGUUCGUAUCUAUCCAGACUGCAGGUGCAUACAGCCACUCAUCCUCAAAUGCCAUCCUCAGGAGUUUAUGCUGCACACAGACUGGCACAUGUGCAGGAAGACAUAGUGCAGGGCUACGUGCUACAACAUUGUUGGUGACAGCAACAUAUUGGAAGCAACCUGAAUUUUUGUUAAUAGAGGAUUGGCUACAUAAAUGAUGCUAAUCUAUACAACUGGAGUACUAUGAUGCCAUAAAAAAGAAUGUACAAGGUCUUUACGUUUGGAAAGAUCUCUAAGAUAUAAUGAUUUUCUUUGCCUCUCAAGGGAGCUGGGAGAAACUCAAGUCUGAAACUCAAACUCAUCUCAGUCAUUCCUUUCCCUUCAACUAGACCUGAACCUCAGGAGAUCUGGAGUAUGUGCUGAAUUCUACUGGGAACUGAGCCCUCUGAAUAUUAUUAUUGUUUUGCUAAUACUUUUUGCUGGAAAGUACAUCAAACCAGGAUGUGUUGUACCUCUUGCUUUGCCAGACUAUUUAAAAGCAAAAGUGACCAGAUAUCCAACUUAAGGCUGAUCCAGGUUUUUCAUGAUCUAGCCAGGGGAGACAAACCUUCCAGGAAAGUCUCUAGCGAAGGCCAAGGAUUUUAGAAAGUAUCUGUGAACAAAGAAAUGCAAUGUUAGUGGGCUAAUUUCCAUAAUCAAAUGAAGCUGAUGCAAGUGCUUUGUGAAUUGAUGCCCAUCAACGAGAGACUGGAUAAAGAAAAUGUGGCACAUAUACGCCAUGGAAUACUAUGUAGCCGUAAAAAUGAACAAG